GGUAAUUGACAGGUGCAAAAAUAAACCCUCUUUUGCAACCCAGAACUCAAUGUUCAGUAUGAGUUUCGAUCCAUACAAGAAAGGAUGUA
RNAcentral lists this small nucleolar RNA (89 nucleotides) under Mesocricetus auratus (golden hamster). RNAcentral's name for it is "Small nucleolar RNA SNORA40 (ENSMAUG00000002375.1)". It matches the Rfam family "Small nucleolar RNA SNORA40", at positions 39 to 128 of the family's 128-position model. Rfam says of the family: The snoRNA ACA 40 belongs to the H/ACA family of snoRNAs and guides the pseudouridylation of 28S rRNA subunit at position U4565. NB This family has a high threshold value to exclude a large number of closely related sequences that do not appear to have conserved H and ACA boxes, and may be pseudogenes. The record is from RNAcentral. Lineage: Eukaryota; Metazoa; Chordata; Mammalia; Rodentia; Cricetidae.